AGUAACGCGUAAGAACCUACCCCCAGGAGAGGGAUACCAACUGGAAACGGUUGUUAAUACCUCCUAUGCUGAGGAGUGAAAGGCUUUCAAGCCGCCUAGGGAUGGGCUUGCGUCUGAUUAGCUAGUUGGGGGAGUAAAGGCCUCCCAAGGCGAUGAUCAGUAGCUGGUCUGAGAGGACAAUCAGCCACACUGGGACUGAGACACGGCCCAG
Molecule: ribosomal RNA, 211 nt
Filed under: uncultured bacterium
Lineage: Bacteria
Description: partial 16S ribosomal RNA
Rfam family: Bacterial small subunit ribosomal RNA
Source: RNAcentral